GUGCCAGCAGCCGCGGUAAUACGAAGGGGGCUAGCGUUGCUCGGAAUUACUGGGCGUAAAGGGUGUGUAGGCGGAUACUUAAGUCGGGGGUGAAAGCCCAGGGCUCAACCCUGGAAUAGCCUUCGAUACUGGGUAUCUUGAGUUCGGGAGAGGUAAGUGGAACUCCGAGUGUAGAGGUGAAAUUCGUAGAUAUUCGGAAGAACACCAGUGGCGAAGGCGACUUACUGGCCCGAUACUGACGCUGAAACACGAAAGCGUGGGGAGCAAACAGGAUUAGAAACCCCUGUAGUCC
This 292-nucleotide ribosomal RNA is filed under the name uncultured bacterium. RNAcentral's name for it is "partial 16S ribosomal RNA". It matches the Rfam family "Bacterial small subunit ribosomal RNA", at positions 505 to 796 of the family's 1533-position model. The record is from RNAcentral.